This 87-nucleotide microRNA precursor is filed under the name Mus caroli (Ryukyu mouse). RNAcentral describes it as "microRNA 718 (MGP_CAROLIEiJ_G0008370.1)". The stretch from base 18 to 81 matches the Rfam family "mir-718 microRNA precursor family". Lineage: Eukaryota; Metazoa; Chordata; Mammalia; Rodentia; Muridae. The record is from RNAcentral.
ACGCCCCCGUGUGGCGGAAGGCCGCGGAGGGCAAGAUGGCGGCGGGUCGAGCGCCGCCUCUUCCGCCCUGCCGGUGUCGCACGAGGC